GGGGGCGUACCGGCUUCGACGUGAGCGGUUAGCGCCUAGCGAGACGAGCCGAGUUUGCUGGAGACUCGUUAAACGCCGGCACCACAAGAUACACGCCGAUAACGAUAUGGCUCUGGCUGCCUAACUAAAACGGUAGCCGAUCGGUCCGGGUAGCCCACGGCUCGGGUACCGGUCUCAUUUUAGUGGGCUUACCCUACGGGUCCUGGCCCGGGGCACGUAGGGAACACUCAACGGGCUAGCCUCUCGGCGGUGCCCCGGUCCGUCGAGGCGGGCGAAACGAAACUGGGAGCGACGCUCGUACAAUCUCGUGGGCAGCACGUUCGCGGACGCGGGUUCGAUUCCCGCCGCCUCCACUA
RNAcentral lists this transfer-messenger RNA (356 nucleotides) under Rubrobacteraceae. RNAcentral describes it as "SCSIO-52915 sp011492965 Standard tmRNA". It matches the Rfam family "transfer-messenger RNA". From Rfam's summary of the family: Bacterial tmRNA, also known as 10Sa RNA or SsrA, is named for its dual tRNA and mRNA-like properties. Its role is to liberate the mRNA from a stalled ribosome. To accomplish this part of the tmRNA is used as a reading frame that ends in a translation stop signal. RNAcentral also lists the same sequence under 1 other name. The record is from RNAcentral. Lineage: Bacteria; Bacillati; Actinomycetota; Rubrobacteria; Rubrobacterales.